Non-coding RNA from Aegilops tauschii subsp. strangulata, 1274 nucleotides. NCBI's taxonomy places the organism in Eukaryota, Viridiplantae, Streptophyta, Magnoliopsida, Poales, Poaceae. The record is from RefSeq and is a predicted model, not a curated record.
GAUCCUCUGACUUAGGAAGUUCUACUGCCGAGGGACGUCCUUCGCGCUGCACCGUCCAUCAGCCAUCGAACGAUACGAGCAGAAACUACAGCCUGCGCCAGCUUUCUCGCUUGGGUGGGCAGAAGUAAGCGGCCCAUCGGCCCAGUCCGACGCUAGCGAGAGGGAGACGAGGGAAGCGAGGGAAAAAGGCGCGAGAGGCCACAGAAACGGCGCCAAAGUUGAUCGGAAGGAGAUCCCCGGCGCUCAGCGGGGACGGUGCUCUGCUCCUCAAUCUCACUAGCCUGCUGAACUCGGAUCAGGCAUCCCUUUUUCUGAUGAAAGAAGCAGCCUGCUGAACUCGGAUCAGGCAUCCCUUUUUCUGAUGAAAGAAGCAGCUUGCUGAACUCUGAUCAAGCAUUCCUUCUUCUAAUGGAAGAAGUAACAGAGAGGGAAGAAGAGGCUGAUACACUGCACCAUGAUUCCAAUUCUAAUAAGUAUUUUUCUUAUCCCAAGUAGACUGAUUUUACUUGAUUUUAUUCUUAUCCCAAUUACUGCUACUCUUUGCUUAUUCCCUUACAGAAAUCUUUUUCCAGUACUAUUAGUCCCAAUAUUUUGUAUGCACUUCCACAAGUCUAAUAUUCAUUUCAUUUACAUUACAGAGUUGUAUUGCCUAGUUUGGUACCUCUUGUUGGCAUGUAAUUUAGAAAUUCAGAUGAGGCUUGGGCAUUUUGGCUUACCUACAGUGGACAGAAAGGAUCUGAGGUCAGAAAAAGGUAUACAAACAAGAGGCCAACCGAUGGCAAAGUUACAUCAUGUAGAUUUGUUUGUGCAUGUAGUGGUGCUGGACAAGUUGCAGAUGUUAUAGUUUACAAGGACAAUGGAAAAGAGUCUCAAGAUUACAAGAACAAUCUCAGCUUCACUCAACUGUUGAUGGUAAUUUUGCCCAUAUAGAGAUGGUAUUUUUUCAAUAACAACUUAUUUAUUUAAUUUACAGGGACCAAUCACAGAUGAUCUAUUUACUGGGUCGUGGUGAAGCACUACUGUUUUGGGGCAAUCAUGUGCUCUAUACUUGAAUGAGAGCACAAACAAGCAUGGUUUUGGCAGAUUUGGGCAUUCAGUUCAGUUCAGUUACCUUUUGGCCAUUCGGUUCAGUUCUAGGUUCUAAGAUAAUACUCCAAUUUAUGUAUGCACGCUCAUUGUACAUUCGGCAGCCAAAGCAAGCAUUAUGACUUGCAAGUGAUUGUAUUCCUGGAAGGACAUGCUCUCAAAUUGUCAACAUGUGUUAUCCUCUUUAA